GACGAACGCUGGCGGCGUGCUUAACACAUGCAAGUCGAACGAAGAGCGAUGGAAGCUUGCUUCUAUCAAUCUUAGUGGCGAACGGGUGAGUAACGCGUAAUCAACCUGCCCUUCAGAGGGGGACAACAGUUGGAAACGACUGCUAAUACCGCAUACGAUCUAAUCUCGGCAUCGAGGAUAGAUGAAAGGUGGCCUCUACAUGUAAGCUAUCACUGAAGGAGGGGAUUGCGUCUGAUUAGCUAGUUGGAGGGGUAACGGCCCACCAAGGCGAUGAUCAGUAGCCGGUCUGAGAGGAUGAACGGCCACAUUGGGACUGAGACACGGCCCAGACUCCUACGGGAGGCAGCAGUGGGGAAUCUUCCGCAAUGGACGAAAGUCUGACGGAGCAACGCCGCGUGAGUGAUGGCGGCCUUCGGGUUGUAAAGCUCUGUUAAUCGGGACGAAAGGCCUUCUUGCGAAUAGUGAGAAGGAUUGACGGUACCGGAAUAGGAAGCCACGGCUAACUACGUG
Molecule: ribosomal RNA, 510 nt
Filed under: uncultured bacterium
Lineage: Bacteria
Description: partial 16S ribosomal RNA
Rfam family: Bacterial small subunit ribosomal RNA
Source: RNAcentral